Molecule: non-coding RNA, 681 nt
Organism: Leptonychotes weddellii (Weddell seal)
Lineage: Eukaryota; Metazoa; Chordata; Mammalia; Carnivora; Phocidae
Source: RefSeq, a predicted model, not a curated record
CCUUGUGGUUGCGAGGCUCGGUGACCUCGCUGCCACGACCCAGCUUCUCAACGGAGGGGACGCCUGCUCAGGGAGCAGCUGCAAACGGAGCACGGUUGUCGGCGCCCUCCUGCUUGGGGCAUUCUGGAAGCAUCCUCCGCUCCCGCUGUGGACGCUUGUCCUCUGGCAGGUGGUUCUUCCAGACCUCCGUGUGCCCGUCCCCGUGCUGCCCCUGACUUCCUGUGCGCACGCCUUUCUCGCGUCCUGUGCCAACGCUCUCCCGCACCCGGGCGGGGUCUCAGUCAUCCCGUGGCCCUAGCUCCGUGGUGGCUAUGCUUUCGUUCGUGGCUGCUGCCUGCUGACCUCUCCGUGGGUUUGGGCAUGAAUUCCCAUCUUCUGAAAUCGUGGUCAAGUGCUAUCACAAGAAGUACCGCUCGGCCACCCGCGAUGUGAUUUUCCGCCUGCAGUUUCACACGGGGGCCGUUCAGGGCUACGGACUCAUGUUCGGGAAGGAGGAUCUGGACAACGCGAGCCAAGAUGACCGUUUUCCUGAUAAUGGCAAGAUUGAGUUGCUUUUCUCCGCCACUCCCGAGAAGAUUCAAGGGUGUGAACACUUGCGCAAUGACCACGGCGUGAUCGUGGACUUCAACACCGCAGACCCUCUCAUCCGCUGGGACUCGUACGAGAGCCUGAGUGCCGGUG